CCUACGGGAGGCAGCAGUGAGGAAUAUUGGUCAAUGGCCGGGAGGCUGAACCAGCCAAGUCGCGUGCGGGACGACGGCCCUACGGGUUGUAAACCUCUUUUGUCAGGGAGCAAGGUGCAGGUCGGGACCUGCUGUGAGAGUACCUGAAGAAAAAGCAUCGGCUAACUUCGUGCCAGCAGCCGCGGUAAUACGGAGGAUGCGAGCGUUAUCCGGGUUUAUUGGGUUUAAAGGGUGCGCAGGCGGCGGCUCAAGUCAGCGGUAAAAUCGCGGGGCUCAACCCCGCUCCGCCGUUGAAACUGUGGCCCUUGAGUGCGCGAAGGGUAGGCGGAAUGCGUGGUGUAGCGGUGAAAUGCAUAGAUAUCACGCAGAACUCCGAUCGCGAAGGCAGCCUACCGGCGCGCAACUGACGCUCAUGCACGAAAGCGUGGGUAUCGAACAGGAUUAGAUACCCCAGUAGUC
Molecule: ribosomal RNA, 459 nt
Filed under: uncultured bacterium
Lineage: Bacteria
Description: partial 16S ribosomal RNA
Rfam family: Bacterial small subunit ribosomal RNA
Source: RNAcentral